This is a long non-coding RNA of Cydia splendana, 245 nucleotides long. RefSeq lists it as uncharacterized. The transcript is spliced from 2 exons. The record is from RefSeq and is a predicted model, not a curated record. Lineage: Eukaryota; Metazoa; Arthropoda; Insecta; Lepidoptera; Tortricidae.
AUGACGACCUGUCUGGUUUAGUCGGUAGUGACCCUGCCUAUAAAGUCGAUGGUCCCGGGUUCAAUUCCUGGUAAGGGCAUUUAUUUGUGUUAUGAGCACGGAUAUUUGUUCCUGAGUCUUGGGUGUCUUCUAUGUAUUUAGCCAUUUAUAAAUAUUUAUAUAUUUUAUAUAACGUUAUCUAAGUACCCACAACACAAGCCUUACUCAGUUUACUGUGGAGCUUAGCCAAUUUGUGUAAUAAUGUC